UGCUAACGACAUACCAAUUAACCACACCUGUCUGCCAGCAAACACUCCUGCUCCCUGUAUUUAAAAAUACAAGAAGAAACUGGUUCUCUUUACAACUUUUUGUCAUCUGAUGUAUAAAUAACAUGUUAGGCUGAAAAAGGAUGCUCUGUCUUAGUGGAACUAUAUAUAUAGAUAUAGAUAUGCACGCUUUGCUGCCUUUACAUCCAGUACAGAAGCCAUUACGCAGCAGCACAUA
This 235-nucleotide long non-coding RNA is filed under the name Gallus gallus (chicken). The record is from RNAcentral. Lineage: Eukaryota; Metazoa; Chordata; Aves; Galliformes; Phasianidae.